CUCAGCCUACGGGGGGCAGCAGUGAGGAAUAUUGGUCAAUGGGAGAGAUCCUGAACCAGCCAAGCCGCGUGAGGGAAGACGGCCCUAUGGGUUGUAAACCUCUUUUGUCGGAGAACAAAACCCGGGACGAGUCCCGGACUGCGUGUAUCCGAAGAAAAAGCAUCGGCUAACUCCGUGCCAGCAGCCGCGGUAAUACGGAGGAUGCGAGCGUUAUCCGGAUUUAUUGGGUUUAAAGGGUGCGCAGGCGGAAGAUCAAGUCAGCGGUAAAAUUGAGAGGCUCAACCUCUUCGAGCCGUUGAAACUGG
Molecule: ribosomal RNA, 305 nt
Filed under: uncultured bacterium
Lineage: Bacteria
Description: bacterial SSU rRNA
Rfam family: Bacterial small subunit ribosomal RNA
Source: RNAcentral